UACGUAGGUGGCAAGCGAUACUCGGAAUCACUAGGCGUAAAGCGCAGGUAGGCGGUUUGGUAAGUCUUUUGUGAAAGCUCCUGGCUCAACUGGGAGAGGUCAAGGGAAACUACCGGACUAGAGUGUGGUAGGGGAUACUGGAAUUCCUGGUGUAGCGGUGAAAUGCGUAGAUAUCAGGAGGAAUACCUAUGGCGAAGGCGGGUCUCUGGGCCGAUACUGACGCUGAGGAGCGAAAGCGUGGGGAGCGAACAGG
Molecule: ribosomal RNA, 253 nt
Filed under: uncultured bacterium
Lineage: Bacteria
Description: partial 16S ribosomal RNA
Rfam family: Bacterial small subunit ribosomal RNA
Source: RNAcentral